Molecule: long non-coding RNA, 2998 nt
Organism: Acinonyx jubatus (cheetah)
Lineage: Eukaryota; Metazoa; Chordata; Mammalia; Carnivora; Felidae
Exons: 2
Source: RefSeq, a predicted model, not a curated record
UUCGACCUCACGGCAACCGGCCAAGAGAGAGGCUGCUGGGUGUGGGUGCCAGGCCGGGACGUGGGCUCUUCUGUACGUGGCCUCGGAUGUGCGGACCUGCGGGUAGCUCUCUGGGUGUGUGAGUUCUGAGGCGCGCGUGUGCGUGUACUUGCUCGUGCCCGGUCUGCAGACGUCUCUUCCAAUUUAGAUUUCGAGGUGCACGCGCAAGACAGUUCCGGAUGCAGAUGCAUUUGGUUGUUUUACAAUCAAGAUGCGUAUAAUCAAGAUGUAUAUGUUGCAGAUGUCGCUGUUCAAAGUACACGGAAGGAUAAUAAAAGGAGCUGGCAUGCAAGGGGCACGUGCGCGUGCCAGGCGCUCCGUUAAGCACCCCACCCAAGUGAGCUCACCAUUAACCCCUAUGAGGGUGGGCGCUCUUCAAGGAAGCCAGAGCUCACGACUUCAGGGAAGACGCAGAAAUCACAGAAGUUUGUUCCUGCGCAUAUAUUGGGAUUUGGGGGCACGGGAGCCCUGCGAUUUUGCCCAGAGUCUUGGAGACGCGUGAGCCCAACCAAAUGAAGAACCCCUCGCUGCCCUGGGGACAAAAAGAAAUGAGAGGAAGUUUUCGGGUGGUCCCUGGGGACUCUUGUCUUGGCCAGGUCAACCUUAGCUUAAGGGACUAAUUCCAUCUUUCUAACCUUCUAGAAGGACACUCUUUCCUUGCUUAUUUUGAAGCUAAGCCUCCAGACCCCCAGGGCCCCAGGCAUUGUCUAAUUAGUUGACUAGUUAAUGAUAUUAACUCAUCAGCCAAAUGAUUAUGAACAAUCAUUAUCACCCCUAAUGAAUUCUGUGUUAAUUUCCUGUUGCUAGGCUUACCCUCACUUGACUAGCACAGGCAAUAAAAGGAAACCACUUUUCAUAAAACAAUUAGUUUUUAUUACAUUCCUCCCACCUCAAGAUCUGGGGUGAGGGGAGCUGUAGGGGGGAUCCCCCUUGCAGAGAGACUCCUGGGGUCCAGGCCGGGGGCUCCCUGGCCUCUACACCCCUUCACUGGCCUCCUCCGCAUACACCACGGUGAUAUGGUGAUAUACCGGCAGGUUUAACCUUUGUUAGAAUCUUCAGGAGGAUUUACUUAGUUUUUUUCAUUAAAGUCACAUCUGGUCGACUCCGGGGCUUGGAUUUUGUACUAUAGAUGUGUAUGUGUUGGAGGGGGAUCCUGUGGGGUCUGAGGGCCACCUGAACCUUUUUCUCAGGGCAGAAAUUAACAAGGCGAAAGCUGGGACCUAGUUUAGGGCUGAUAAUUCUUUUUACCUUUACUGCCCAGCGGAGCUCAGCACAAGGUAGACACCUACCCAACUCCUGCGUCUGGGUCAAGUCUAAACAUGUUCAGGGAUCCCACUACUUUGGAUACGUUUUAAAAAGCCCUCCGCAUCUCUAUUAUGCUUCCCUCUCUGAGUUCUUUCACUUGUUAUUCAGGCAGACACCCCGACAGCACUGGAAAAUUCGCAAGCACUCAAGGAACCUCCUACGCAUUGCAGACUAUUCAAGGGGAGAGGGUAGGGUCCCUCUUUCCUCCCCUCUGAUAAAAUAGGGUCCCAGGGAAAGCCCCUCAUCACCCCACGUCCUGCCUAAAUAAAUCCUCUUUGGUCGUCCUUGGCCACUUGGGGAUGGAUUUCUUCCUGGCGUCAAGGCAAGGUUGAUUUCAAACACGACGAUGUAAAAUUUAAGCUGAGCCUCUCUACCUCUCUCCCCCGCCCCCACAGCACCUCAGCUCCACCCCCCCACCCCCAAAUCAGCAGAUCCUCCGACAACCUCCACUUCCAAUCAACAGUAAUGCGAGGUUCCUCCCAGGGGAAGAAAAGAUAAAAACAAACAAACAAAAAAAAAAACAAGCUACCUGUUUUGCAGAGCUCCGGGAAGGGAGGCUCUAUCCGUAAAAGCUGCUUCCCCCAACUUCCUCCCGCGCCUUUGCUUGGCCGUUCCUUUGCCGCCAUCUGCUGGUCUCAUGGAGAAGCGCAUGCCCUUUCCAAGAUUUCUGGGAGGCUGUCAACCAUCCAUCCGUCCAUCCGUCUGUCCAUCCAGCAAAUAAUGGUGGCCAAGACACCGUCUCUGUUCUCAUGAGACUCGUAUUCCAGGAAAGCAAGCUUCAUGGCCGUCCCUUGAAAGUAAGCUACAGAGGGAGUAAAAUGUUAGAGGUAAGACCUGGAAGUUGGAGGCAGAGAUAUGGAACUAGCAUUCUGAGUCUGUUAUCGGCUCGCUGGGUGUCUCUGGGCCAGGUGACUUAACUUUCCCGGGUCUCGAUUCUGCCUAAAGUAAACCUGGAAUGACGGUACUCACAGGCAGGUGUGCUAUACAGAGCAGAGGACAAAGAACGCUUUUAUUUGCAAAGUACCAGCUCCAUCGACACCAUCUUCCCUGUUUGGAAUUACGUGACUAUGCUUCCAUGAGGGCAGAGUUUGCUUACGGUAGCUUUCCUCUCCUCCGGAUCGUUCUGGAACACUGCUUCCUUACCCCUAUGACGCUCUCUCCAGCAAUGCAAUCCAACCAGUAUUUAGUGAGUGGGGAUUCUGGGUAUGGGCUUCAAAGAGUCCAAGAAGAGGGAGAGGAGGUUGGUCUUCAGGCCCCCCACCCUCUUUCUGGACCCUCCUGCCAGUCACACAGGGGCUGAGAGCAGUCGCCAUUGACGAUGCCAGUCCCAGCUCCUGCUGUCAUCCUGCCCACACUCAUGUCACGACCCUCAUCACCUUCAGCUUCAGAGACUCCCAGGCCUGGCCCACAGCAUCAAGAGGCAGGUCUGGUCUCACCUUGCUCAUUUCUCCAACUUCCUUCGCCCUGCUCUUUAAAGUCAAGCGAGGGGCGCCUGGGUGGCUCAGUCAGUUGAGAGUCUGACUCUUGAUUUCAGCCCAGGUCAUGAUCUCAGGGUCGUGGGAUCCAGUCCCGCGUUGGGCUCCAUACUGAGCACGGAACCAGCUCAGGAUUCUCUCUCUUUCUCUCUCUCUCCCUCUGCUUCUCUCUCUCUCUC